ACACUCCUACGGGAGGCAGCAGUGGGGAAUAUUGGACAAUGGGCGCAAGCCUGAUCCAGCCAUGCCGCGUGAGUGAUGAAGGCCCUAGGGUUGUAAAGCUCUUUCACCGGUGAAGAUAAUGACGGUAACCGGAGAAGAAGCCCCGGCUAACUUCGUGCCAGCAGCCGCGGUAAUACGAAGGGGGCUAGCGUUGUUCGGAUUUACUGGGCGUAAAGCGCACGUAGGCGGACUAUUAAGUCAGGGGUGAAAUCCCGGGGCUCAACCCCGGAACUGCCUUUGAUACUGGUAGUCUUGAGUUCGAGAGAGGUGAGUGGAAUUCCGAGUGUAGAGGUGAAAUUCGUAGAUAUUCGGAGGAACACCAGUGGCGAAGGCGGCUCACUGGCUCGAUACUGACGCUGAGGUGCGAAAGCGUGGGGAGCAAACAGGAUUAGAAACCCAUGUACCCAUG
RNAcentral lists this ribosomal RNA (448 nucleotides) under uncultured organism. RNAcentral's name for it is "partial 16S ribosomal RNA". It matches the Rfam family "Bacterial small subunit ribosomal RNA", at positions 333 to 799 of the family's 1533-position model. The record is from RNAcentral.